AUUGAACGCUGGCGGCAGGCUUAACACAUGCAAGUCGAACGAGUGGCGGACGGGUGAGUAAUGUUUGGGAAUCUGCCUUAUGGAGGGGGAUAACUACUGGAAACUGUAGCUAAUACCGCAUACCAUCGGAUGUGCCCAAGUGGGAUUAGGUAGUUGGUGGGGUAAAGGCUCACCAAGGCGACGAUCCCAAGCUGGUCUGAGAGGAGGACCAGCCACACUGGGACUGAGACACGGCCCAGACUCCUACGGGAGGCAGCAGUGGGGAAUAUUGCGCAAUGGGGGCAAGCCUGACGCAGCCAUGCCGCGUGUAUGAAGAAGGCCUUCGGGUUGUAAAGUACUUUCAGUGGGGAGGCGUUAACUGCAGAAGAAGCACCGGCUAACUCCGUGCCAGCAGCCGCAGUAAUAC
RNAcentral lists this ribosomal RNA (406 nucleotides) under uncultured bacterium. RNAcentral describes it as "partial 16S ribosomal RNA". It matches the Rfam family "Bacterial small subunit ribosomal RNA", at positions 30 to 526 of the family's 1533-position model. The record is from RNAcentral.